AAACCCAAUGCUUUCCUCCUUGCCCCUCCCCGCAUUGCACCACGCACCACCUUGAGAAUCCUGUAACACUGUAAGUACUGUGCAAGUAUCCUACGAAUGUUUCCCUCAAAAUGAAGUACUUUAAGGAUGCCAAGGGCGCUGGGUCUCAGUGAACAGUGAGAACACCGGAUGUGGCUAAACACAAGUCAAAAUUUUGCCUCUUCAGAAUCUAUGGCCUGGUCCAAGCAAUUCAAUCUGACGGAGUUCCUGCUAUUUUUUCACACAAGCAGUAACAACCCCUACAUACAAGUCCCCUUCCUCAACCUCCUGCUACUACCUCCCUCCACACCUGGGGGAUGUCCCAGGGAUUUAGGGAGGGGGCGGGGUUAGAGUGCAAAGUCAGGCCAAGAGACCCUUAGGCCCUGGCUGGGGUCUGGGGUCUCGCCCACAGCGACCCCAGAUCCCGGUGGACUAGACCUGGCCUCCGCCAACGCGCCGCCGCUGCCACCACCUAUCAGCAGCGCGGGGCGGGGCUGGUUGGCUAAGCUGCGGAUCCGCCGAAAGGCGGGGACGGCGAGGGACCCACGGUCUCCCAACUCAGGCCGCCAGGAGCAUACACUGGGCCCAGCUCCCGAGGGCGCCAGCUCGGCCCCAGGGAGCAGGCAAGCGUGCAGCCUGCCUUUGGUGGCAUUGUCCGCCCUGCGCCCACCCACCCAGGAGGUGGGGUCCAAACCUCCAGGAAGAUGGUGUCCUGGAUGAUCUCCAGAGCCGUGGUGUUGGUGUUUGGAAUGCUGUAUCCUGCAUAUUAUUCAUACAAAACUGUGAAAACCAAAAACGUGAAGGAAUAUGUUCGAUGGAUGAUGUACUGGAUCGUUUUUGCUCUCUAUACUGUGAUUGAAACAGUAGCAGAUCAAACAGUUGCUUGGUUCCCCCUGUACUAUGAACUUAAGAUUGCUUUUGUCAUAUGGCUGCUCUCUCCCUAUACCAAAGGAGCCAGUUUAAUAUACAGAAAAUUGCUUCAUCCACUUCUCUCUUCAAAGGAAAGGGAGAUUGAUGAUUAUAUUGUACAAGCAAAGGAACGAGGCUAUGAGACAAUGGUAAACUUUGGGCGGCAAGGUUUAAACUUAGCAGCUACUGCUGCUGUUACUGCAGCCGUGAAGAGCCAAGGGGUAAUUACUGAGCGCUUACGGAGUCUGAGUAUGCACGAUCUGACAGCUAUCCCAGGGGAUGAGCACGUGGGACAAAGACUGUACCAGCCUUUACCAGACACAAAAAAGAGAAGUAAAUCAGCUGCCAGUGAAUCAGCAGGUGUGCUCCUUUGUUUUAAUAUAGCAUUCCUUCACAAUUGGGAUUUUGAGUCAAGACUAUGGAAUUCCACUGAAAGACGGAGAUGAGAAAACAGAUGAAGAGGCGAGUGGGCCAUAUUCAGAUGAUGAGAUGUUAACACACAAAGGGCUUCGAAGAUCACAAAGCAUGAAAUCUGUGAAAACCGUGAAAGGCCGCAAAGAGGUGCGGUAUGGGUCACUAAAAUACAGAGUGAAGAAGAGACCGCAGGUGUAUUUUUAGUCAUGUACACUUCAAGCAUCCCAAGACAAAUUAUGCUAAAGCACCAACCUUUUUUUCUAACAUCAUACAUUCAGGAUUUGUGCACUAAAAUAAUUCUUUAAAUUGUGGCAGUGAUAGGGUUUAUUUUCAUUAAUUUAAAUACUUUUUUAUUUCUUUAAUAAUUACUUUCGAAUGUUGACUACUAAAGGUAGUUAUGCAAAAUAUGUGUGUAUAUAUAUGUCAGAAAUAAUAGAAAACUGUUAUCUAUUUUCAAAUUCAUCAAAAACAUGGAGUGCCUGGGCUGUAAGAGGAAGCACAAACCCACAGUAUACUUGAAAAGAGUCUUUUUAUGGUUCAAGAUACAUCAGUCUUUGCGUUAUUGUAUUGUUUACCUCCAUUUAUGUCAUAGCUAUCACAUGAGGAUGGUAAUUAAAUAGGCCUCUAAUGCAGCAGUGAUAGCACAAGGCAUAAUGUGAGAUAAGGUAUGUUUUAUAUAUUCUUUAAAUUUUUACUUUUUUAAUACUUUAUAGUUUUUCCACCAUCAGCUGAAAGUUUUCAAAACAAAUAUUUGAAAACCAGGUACCCACAUAGCACUUUUGUUCGUGACUAGUUUUGCACACUUGAAAAUUGUUUACUUAUUUUAUGACUGUACGUUUUAAGUUUUACGGACACUAUCUUUAUUAUUUGUCAUAUUCUGACAAGUCAAAUUUAUGCCUUGAAUUACAUCAUCUCUUUUCCUGUGGGUUUCAUUCGCUAAAUUUGUUUGAUUUUAAUAGUAUAAAAAUAUAGCUAGUUGUUUGGUUCUAACUCUUCUUAAUUAUCUUCUUUACAGAUAAGAAAUUAUUUAAGUGAUUAACCAGUUUUAUGUAUUUUGGCUGUACGUUGUAGAGUUGAACUCGGCAUGUUUUUAUUAACACUGGUUACAUUCUCAGAUUUUAAAAGUGGUUGCUUUUGUGAAAUAGAGUUAGAAACCAGUAUGGCACUUAGGUCUUUUCUAAUUCAUGACAAUAUCCAGCAGCCAGUUUAUUCACAAGCUUGGCACUUAUAUGUGCUGCUGAUUUCUAAAUCUGGCAUUAACUAGAAUAACUUGGAUCACUUCUUUUCUGGCUAGAAUAAUUUCCUGGAGAUAGUUGCCAGUGGAAAAUGAGGAUGUUGUUAAUAUCGCAUAUUAGAAGCUAUUAGAAUAGAUAUUAGAAAAAUACCAUUUUUUAAUCCAAGAUAUUUUUGAAUUACUAGACUGAGGCAUUUUUAGGUUGCAUUGAUAGCUAUGCAUUAUGAACUAUAAGUCAAUAUAGUGGUGAUGGUUUUAGUAGUCAGUAAUGAAAUUUGUACAAUUAUACUUCUCUAGGUAAUCUACUUGAUAAAUCUACUUGUUUGUCCAAAAGUAUAAAAACAGUGAGAAAGAUUUGUAAGAUCUUUGACUUUUCUACCUUUUAAGAAAUGAAGCCAGCUGACAGUGUAUAUUCGGGACCUCCUCAAAUUGGUGGGAGAGAACAGAAUAUUUACUCAGGAGCACCUUAGUGUAAUUCAGACAUUUCUCUUGAUACAAGUCUUAAAAUAUUUCCUAGAUUAUCUCACAUUCUUAAUAUGUAACACCAAGUAAAAAUUCAUUUCAAUUUCUUUUCUCCCAGUUUAUUUCUAUGAGUAUGUCCAUCUACUUUACUAAUUUUUAGCCUCUUAAUUUCUGGAAAGACUCUUUGUGUUCAAAACUCCCAUGAAUUCUGAUUAUAAACUUUGAAAGCGUUUUAUUUAUAUUACAUGAUCCUAGACUUAUCAGUAUAAAUGCUAUGUUCCAUGUUUGUCUUUCCUGCAUGAAGGCAGUGUCAUCUCAAAUUGCCUGACAAUGUUAUGAGAGUGACUUUGGAUCAAAAACAUUACCUGUGGGGGCUGAUUUGCACUGUUAUAAUCAUUUUGAAAUCUAAUUUCAUUAUCAUACCUAUUCAUUAAUCACAGUAAACUCAUACUUUUCUAAAUUGGAAGAAUUAUGAAUCCCUCCACACUUCUAGAAUCAAAACAUUUCAUCAAAGACAACACCAGUUUCAAAGAGGUAAUGCAAGUCCUUGUGUUUAAUUCUCUUCACACUUACAGUGCUUCCUCUGAUAUAUUCUGCUGCUUAUAUCCUUAUAUGCAGUGAUGUCAUUUUGCUGUUGUUAUUUUCUUACUCUCCUUUUCUUACAUUUUGUAAAUUUUGUUUCUUUUCUCAUGUAUUUUAGCAUGCCCUUUCUUUUGAACUUUGUAUAAUAAGCUUAUGAAUUUUAGUUUCUUUUAAGGUACAGCAGGUCAUUUUUUGUUUCUAUGCUUUUGAGUCUGCAGCUUUUAAAAAAGGUAUAUUUGUCCCCAGACCACAGUGCCUUGCUUUCUCCACUACCACCACCUGGUGAACGGGCAUCACAUGCUGCACAAGCCUAUUUUGGUAGCUGGUAAAGUUUAUGCAGAAAUUGUAGCCCUUUUAUCGUAUAUGCAUUCAACUUGUUCAAUAAUGUUAACUGUUUUCAGAGUUUACUUGCAAGUAAGAAUUGUUCUAUACUUUAAUUUACCAUAUUUUUUCUGGUAUAAAAAUGAGCCAGAAGUAAGCCUGAUUGCUAAGUAUUUAAUUAUAUAAACCCACCUAAGUCCUGCAUAAGGUUUCCUCCAUACAUUUUACUAUACAUCUGGAUUUGGCUAGCAAGUGAUACUGCCAGCAUUACUAAUGAUAAAUACUUGACUACACAGAUUGAUGGAACAACACUGUUAGUGUUUUCAGGGAAUUUACUCCAUGUGUCACCACCAAAGAUUUCUACAGUGUUACAACGUAUGUAAAUAUUCCAAAUUUCUGUGAGGCAUUGGUUAGAUAAAUAUAUUGUUGUUUUUUUAAUAACACAGUUUAUGCUUCUGGAAUGCUUGAACUUUUGUGUUGUUAAAAAUAAUUCAGUACUAUCUUUAAUAUCGAUAAUUUGUAUUUUUAAUUGGAAUGGACUAAAUUUUUAUUUUCAUACUAUCAGGAAACUUAAGGAGUUAAUGUGUAUUGGAUAGCAAUUUCCUGUUGUCUUCUGUGUGGGCUGAUUGAUUUGCAAGGCUAAUAGGUAAAUUUUGAGAAGGUCAUUGUUAGUGUGAUAUGCAGCGUACGUUUCUUAGUAAACACCAUUGAAGAGUAAAGCUUUCUGAAAAGAAAAUACAGCUUUUCUCUCUACAUGUUUUUAAGAUAAAAUCUUCUAAGGUAUCCUACAGAUAUAAUGUGUAUUAAUUCUUCAACCAUUGACCAUGAAUUAACAUUUUUUUCUAAAAACCUUUUAAAUCUAUGUACUUUAAUAGUUAAGAGAAAGCAAUUUUGCAAACUCUUUGUAAAGGCUAUCUUUGUGCCUAAUAGAGGGGUAACUUCACAAAUGUAUUUUUGAAAACUUUAAUGUAAAAUAAACGUUUUAUUAGUGACAA
Phyllostomus discolor (pale spear-nosed bat) is the source of this 4935-nucleotide RNA transcript. It is a transcript of the gene named receptor accessory protein 3, with no coding region annotated. The transcript is spliced from 8 exons. NCBI's taxonomy places the organism in Eukaryota, Metazoa, Chordata, Mammalia, Chiroptera, Phyllostomidae. The record is from RefSeq and is a predicted model, not a curated record.